GACGAACGCUGGCGGCGUGCUUAACACAUGCAAGUCGAACGGAAAGGCCCUGCUUGCAGGGUACUCGAGUGGCGAACGGGUGAGUAACACGUGGGUGAUCUGCCCUGCACUUCGGGAUAAGCCUGGGAAACUGGGUCUAAUACCGGAUAGGAGCCAUUUUUAGUGUGAUGGUUGGAAAGUUUUUUCGGUGUAGGAUGAGCUCGCGGCCUAUCAGCUUGUUGGUGGGGUAAUGGCCUACCAAGGCGGCGACGGGUAGCCGGCCGGAGAGGGUGGACGGCCACAUUGGGACUGAGAUACGGCCCAGACUCCUACGGGAGGCAGCAGUGGGGAAUAUUGCACAAUGGGCGCAAGCCUGAUGCAGCGACGCCGCGGGGGGGAUGACGGCCUUCGGGUUGUAAACUCCUUUCGCUAGGGACGAAGCUUUUUGUGACGGUACCUAGAUAAGAAGCACCGGCUAACUACGUG
RNAcentral lists this ribosomal RNA (465 nucleotides) under uncultured bacterium. RNAcentral's name for it is "partial 16S ribosomal RNA". It matches the Rfam family "Bacterial small subunit ribosomal RNA", at positions 28 to 507 of the family's 1533-position model. The record is from RNAcentral.